GGCCACAUUAUUUGCGGUAUGUAUAUUGUUGUGUAACGGUAUAACUAACAAGCAAUAAAGGACAUUAUUGUUUGGCCACAAAAUUUAUCAUUAGAUGUUUGGUGGGGGAGGUGCGACAUUUCCCAAACGUGAUGCAACUCUCUUUACAGGUGCUGGCGGUGGCGAUAAUGCCGUCUUAAGGCUUGCAGACCAAGUAGUUUUCCUCAUGUUUAAGCUGUCUGCAUCUUCACAGUUCAGAUAGCCCAGCUUUCGGGAUCCGAUCCGACAAUCCGAUAUCCACCUCGAAUUCUCCAUCUCCCCUGCAGAACACACCAAUACAAAUAAAAUAAAUCAAACCAAACAUAUCCAAUAUAUUCACCCGACAACCCAAUUAUAGGGUAUUAGAAAUGUCGAGACUGUUUCGAAAUUAUUACGUUGAUGAAGUGAGGAGGCAGAAGUGCACCAGCUACAACAUGACGAUAAGAUGAUCAAUACGAGUACUACAAUGUUGAGCUUUGCAAGAAAGUUAACGAGCGGGGAAUAAGGCCUUUUUCUUGUACUGUGUUGAGAAUAUUUUAGGAAGUCGAAAACAAUGCAGAUAUAUAGAGAAGUAGAAGUUUGACUUUUUUGUUUCCAAUGUUAGUGUAAGAGUUGGCGAUCUGUUAUCUACGUUGCCAUGGACACGCACUAAAAUUUACAAGGUCAGUUGAUUUUGACUGGCUCUCUUUUUUAUAAUGAUAGCCACCAAUCAAAAUUCAUUAAAUUUAUACAGAGCAUGUACAUUUA
This 765-nucleotide long non-coding RNA is filed under the name Daucus carota (carrot). RNAcentral's name for it is "long non-coding RNA (DCAR_LNC006554)". Lineage: Eukaryota; Viridiplantae; Streptophyta; Magnoliopsida; Apiales; Apiaceae. The record is from RNAcentral.